AUUAUUGAAGUGUUUGCAUUUGGAAUCGUCUUAGGCCUAAUUCCUAUUACUUUAGCAGGAUUAUUUGUGACUGCGUAUUUGCAAUACAAGCGUGGGGAUCAAUUGGAUCUUUGA
Molecule: ribosomal RNA, 114 nt
Filed under: Triticum aestivum (bread wheat)
Lineage: Eukaryota; Viridiplantae; Streptophyta; Magnoliopsida; Poales; Poaceae
Description: partial small subunit ribosomal RNA
Source: RNAcentral